This is an RNA transcript of Papaver somniferum (opium poppy), 1688 nucleotides long. It is a transcript of the gene named serine/arginine-rich-splicing factor SR34-like, with no coding region annotated. Lineage: Eukaryota; Viridiplantae; Streptophyta; Magnoliopsida; Ranunculales; Papaveraceae. The record is from RefSeq and is a predicted model, not a curated record. The transcript has 16 exons.
GCAAAAUGAACGAACUCCAAGUUUGUUCAUUGCAUAUGAAUUGACCUAAGGACGGUUGGUUAAAAUUACCGCUGUAAAUUUCAGUGAAUGAUUUGCGGGGAUUAGACGAACGUGUCGAUCUUUAUAAAAACCCUAGAAACAGAAAUUAUCCCCAUUAGUACUAUUUUCUUCUCCCCCUAAUAAGUUCAUCUUCUAAUUUCUCUACUUCCUCCCUCCAAUUCAAAAGUUUGGUAAGCAUGACUGGUCGUUCAAGUCGAACUCUGUAUGUUGGUAAUCUCCCAGGAGAUAUCCGUGAGAGGGAAGUGGAGGAUUUGUUUUACAAGUAUGGUCCCAUCAUCGAUAUUGAUCUAAAGGUUCCACCAAGGCCCCCAGGUUAUGCCUUUGUCGAGUUUGAAGACGCUCGCGAUGCUGAGGAUGCUAUCCGUGGUCGGGAUGGGUAUAGCUUCGAUGGGCAUCGUCUGCGGGUGGAACUUGCACAUGGCGGGCGAGGGCAGUCGUCAUCAAUAGAUCGUCAUAGCAGUUACAGUAGCGGUGGUGGUCGUGGUGGAGUAUCCAGGCGCUCAGACUACCGUGUGUUGGUCACUGGAUUACCUUCUUCUGCUUCAUGGCAAGACCUAAAGGAUCACAUGCGCCGAGCUGGGGAUGUCUGUUUCUCGCAAGUGUAUCGUGAAGGCAGUGGUACUAUCGGUGUUGUUGAUUACACAAAUUAUGAUGACAUGAAAUAUGCGAUACGAAAGCUUGACGACUCCGAGUUUCGCAAUGCAUUUUCUCGGGCUUAUGUGCGGGUGAAGGAGUAUGACUCAAGGCGGAGUUUAUCCCGGAGCAGGAGUCGGAGUUCAUCUUUGAGAAGCAGAAGCCGCAGCCGCAGCUACAGUCGGAGCAAGAGCCGGAGCAAGUCUCUAAGGACCAAAUCUUCUCGCUAUUCUGUGUCUAGAUCUCGAUCCAGAUCUGUAUCUUCAGAUUCUCGUUCAGCCUCUGCGUCCAGAUAUGGCUUUUGCAGAGAUUUGGGGAUUGCAUGUUAGGAACUUUCUUGGAUAUAUGGUGCAACUGUCUGCAACUCUCUUGGUUGUGGAGUGUGCACCCAUUGGAGCAAAAGUGGGACACUGGGAUGGAGAAAAGCUUAAAGCUGGAUUAUAACUAAUCAUUGUUGGAACUUACCGGUUACACUAAGUGAUCCCCAUCAAGAUCAAGAUCUCCAUUACCAGCUAGACGCGUGAGAAGUUCGAAAAAACGAACUCCCAGCCGAAGCAGGAGCUUAUCCCAGUCUCUUUCACCUGCGGUGAGAUCUGAUCGCAGCCGUUCUGUUGACUCCAGAGGCCGGUAGAGAGGAUAAAAUUUCCUAUUGGUGAUCAAAUGUUCUGGUAGCAGUUAACCUUUAGAAUAAUAUGUGCCCUAACGACCAACCCGAUCAGCCCAUCACUUGAUUCUUCCCUGUUUCAUUCAUCAUUUUUUUCUUCUGGGUUUUGAUUUACGGGUGAAAUCUUUAUCGCAAAUCGAUCCGAGAGCCAGUAGUGACUCACUUAUGAGGAGACUGUCCAUGUUUUCCUGUGAUUUAUAAAAUGAUUGUUAGGUGCAGACAUUUGAGCAACUUAUAUAUAUCUGUAAUAGCAGUAGUACUUCGUAUUCGGUUAAAAUAAUGUACUUAAAAAGUACUUUGUUGAACAUAAUAAGUUGAGCACACUUUAUUC